This 407-nucleotide ribosomal RNA is filed under the name Hesperoperla pacifica. RNAcentral describes it as "partial 12S ribosomal RNA". The stretch from base 49 to 407 matches the Rfam family "Microsporidia small subunit ribosomal RNA", at positions 751 to 1207 of the family's 1311-position model. Lineage: Eukaryota; Metazoa; Arthropoda; Insecta; Plecoptera; Perlidae. The record is from RNAcentral.
UAAACUACGAUUAGAUACCCUAUUAUUUUGAAUGUAAAUUUAUAUACUGGAGUAGUAAUAGUUAUGAACUUGAAACUCAAAGAAUUUGGCGGUGCUUUAGUCCUUUCAGAGGAACCUGCCCCGUAAUCGAUAUUCCACGUUAUAUCUUGCUUAGUCUUGUAGUCAGCUUGUAUACCGCCGUCGUCUGAAUGUCCUUUCAGGGAAAUAAUUUUCUUGAUUUUAAAAUAAAAAUGAUGUCAGGUCAAGGUGCAGUUGAUGGUUAAGAGGAGGUGGGUUACAUUAAGUGAAUUUAAAUGGAUUGUGACUUGGAAUAUUAGUUGUUUGAAGGUGGAUUUGAUUGUAAUUUUAUGGGAUUAAGUUAGGGUGAUUUUGGCUCUAAAGCAUGCACACAUCGCCCGUCGCUCUUA